UAGUCCUGAGAUGAUAAAAUGUUUUUAAUAAAACAUUCCUUUAAAUUGACUUUUUAACAAACAUUUUGCAUGAUACAUUUUGAGGAUUUUUUGUCGAAAUGUUGUUAUCUUUUAUAAAUCAUUGGCACAAUAACAAAGGAGGAACAUUAUCAAAGCAACAUUCAUCAAAUGUUUUGUGGACAUUUACCUGAGAUGACAAAAUCUCAUAAUAUAUGUUAACAAAAGCUCAUAAAAUUGUAAGGAUAUUUUAAGGAAGCUGUUUAGGUAACAUAUUUUAGAAUUAUUUUAACCUAUAGAAUAAUGGCAUAAUUUUCCAUAAUAAAAGAGGAACAUUGUCAAAACAGCAUACGUAAAGUGUUUUGAGGAUAUAUUAGGCUACUCUGAACUGAACUGCUGCGACAAAUGCGUUUACAAGAGAUGAGAAGCUGAUUGGAGGUCGCUGUAGAUCAACGUUUAAAACCACCAAUCACAGCGCGAUGUUCCCAUGACGUAAGAACAUUUGAACUCGACAAACAGCGCAAAUAAAGCAACGUUUCUGUUGAAGAACUCGGCGCAGAAUGUCCGUUGUCUAAAUUGGCGACACAUUGGCCCAAAACAACAGAACUCCUGGUCAACGGAACUCUUUCACAACUGUAAGUUUUUGUGUGUAUUUUUUCAGUUUACAUAGCUUUCUCUUGUCCUUGAUGUCUUUCAGUAUUAGACCUAACUUUCUACUUUCUUAGAAUUGUAUGACAGUCGCAAUAAAUCUGAGUGUAUGCUACUUUUGAAUAACAGCUAGAUUUGUUUUAAUGCAGACUCCAAACGGACUGUUUCAAGAUGAUUAACUUACCGAUCACACAAUAAAGUCUCCAUUUACAACCAAGAAUGGCAGUGAAUGGCCGUCUAUCAAGGCGCAUCCAUCCAUGAUAAAAGUAAUCCACCACAUGACUCUGGCGGGGUUAUAAAGCCCUUUUAAAGCGAAGCAUUUGUGCUAUGAGGAAAAACUCUACUGUGCACACAGAGAACAGAGCUCAAUGCUAACUGGGGGAGCAGCUGGACAACUAGAAGAGAGAAUAGUAGAACACUACUAUUAAUACAGAUUCCUGGAUUAUUUUUCUGCAAGAACCAAAACAAGCAAAGACUGAUGAUGAGUGCUCUGAGCAAACACUGGAGUCAAGACGCAUGAGUGACUUUACUGAGUUCUUCAUGUAAUGUUGGGCAUUUACUGUACGCAGAACUUCUAAUAAUUUAUGUGGAUGCCAUUUAUAAACCUGUUAGAUUUUGAUGUUUUAGUUUUGAGAUUAAUAAAAUGUUAUGCUUUAACAAUGUUAUAGCUAAUCAUUUUUGAGGGGUUUUAAGUGAACAUUUUGGGAACAAAAAUAAACUUCCGCUAAAAACUUUAUAAGAAAGUUAGGGGAUAAUGUUUUAAAAAUGUUAUGAUUAAACCUUUAUAGAAGGUCAUCACAAAACAUUUUCAGAGUGUUCAUAGAGAAUGUUAUGCCAUCUUUUAAGAGAACAUUCUGGGAACAAAAAGAAAACUACCCGCUGAAAAUGAUAUAAGAACGUUGGGGAAUAAUU
Non-coding RNA from Pimephales promelas (fathead minnow), 1557 nucleotides. NCBI's taxonomy places the organism in Eukaryota, Metazoa, Chordata, Actinopteri, Cypriniformes, Leuciscidae. The record is from RefSeq and is a predicted model, not a curated record.